AUAAAACCAUGGAAAAUACAGGAUCCCAAAUGUCAUGAUGGGGUAGCGGUAAUCAGAUAAUGCCACACCCAGCAAUCACUGCACUUGUUACUGCGGCUUCAAGCUGGGUGGAUGUCUUUUGUAGCAUUCCUUCUCAAUACAUGUCUUUGUUUUUUAGUUUAGGUUUGAUACAUAAGGAUCCCUCUGUUCUGCCUUCCACUUGAGGGAGUUACUUGGGGCCAAUGUCCUUCAGCGCACAGAUCUGCUCCUCCCCCAUG
This 257-nucleotide unclassified non-coding RNA is filed under the name Hevea brasiliensis (rubber tree). Lineage: Eukaryota; Viridiplantae; Streptophyta; Magnoliopsida; Malpighiales; Euphorbiaceae. The record is from RNAcentral.